UACGGAGGGUGCAAGCGUUAUCCGGAUUUACUGGGUUUAAAGGGUGCGUAGGCGGGUCUUUAAGUCAGUGGUGAAAUCCUCCUGCUCAACGGGAGAACUGCCAUUGAUACUAUUGAUCUUGAAUUCAGUUGAGGUGGGCGGAAUGUGUCGUGUAGCGGUGAAAUGCGCAGAUAUCAGGAGGAACACCAAUGGCGAAGGCAGCUCGCUGGGACGGUACUGACGCUGAGACGCGAAAGCGUGGGGAGCAAACAGG
RNAcentral lists this ribosomal RNA (253 nucleotides) under uncultured bacterium. RNAcentral describes it as "partial 16S ribosomal RNA". It matches the Rfam family "Bacterial small subunit ribosomal RNA", at positions 524 to 776 of the family's 1533-position model. The record is from RNAcentral.